Molecule: ribosomal RNA, 253 nt
Filed under: uncultured bacterium
Lineage: Bacteria
Description: partial 16S ribosomal RNA
Rfam family: Bacterial small subunit ribosomal RNA
Source: RNAcentral
UACGUAGGGAGCAAGCGUUGUCCGGAUUCACUGGGUGUAAAGGGUGCGCAGGCGGAUCGGUAAGUCAGAGGUGAAAUCUCACAGCUCAACUGUGAAACUGCCUUUGAUACUGCUGAUCUUGAGUUGGGGAGAGGUUGAUGGAAUUCCAGGUGUAGCGGUGAAAUGCGUAGAUAUCUGGAAGAACACCAGUGGCGAAGGCGGUCAACUGGCCCUAAACUGACGCUCAUGCACGAAAGCGUGGGGAUCAAACAGG